AUGUCAGACCACUCUGACUCCAAUGAUUCCCAUGAGCUUAACAACUUAGAUGAUAGCCUAGACGAUUACAUUGCCGAGCAAGAUAUCAUAGAUUCCUUCGCUCGGAUGUUUGCAAACAAGUUUAAGGCCAGACUCGCAGCUCUGCGUGCUGGAUUAUCUUGUCGCCGAAGUGGUACCAGAAGGUACAUACGGAGGAAUCGUGAGGAGGCCCAUAAUCUGCUUGUGGCUGACUACUUCGCUGAAAUUCCAACCUACAGCGAUACAAUGUUCAGGAGAAGGUUUCAGAUGAGAAGAUCUGUCUUCUUGCGUAUUGUGAGUGCCUUCUCAGAGUGGUCUCCCUUUUUCACUCAAAGGGUAGACUGCACUUCUAGGAAAGGGCUCUCACCACUGCAGAAAUGCACGGCGGCUAUUCGUAUGAUGGCAUACGGUACCCCUGCUGAUGAACUGGAUGAUUACCUGAAGAUUGGUGAGAGCACUGCAUUGAAGUGUUUGAAGGAUUUCGCAAAAGGGGUGAUCGCCAACUUUGCUGGGCGUUACUUGCGACGCCCCACUUGUGAGGAUGUGGAGCGCUUGCUGCAAGUCGGCGAGUCUCGAGGCUUUCCUGGCAUGUUGGGAGCCUAG
This 621-nucleotide ribosomal RNA is filed under the name Triticum aestivum (bread wheat). RNAcentral describes it as "partial small subunit ribosomal RNA". Lineage: Eukaryota; Viridiplantae; Streptophyta; Magnoliopsida; Poales; Poaceae. The record is from RNAcentral.